UGGGGAAUUUUUCGCAAUGGGGGCAACCCUGACGAAGCAACGCCGCGUGGGUGAUGAAGUAUUUCGGUACGUAAAACCCUUUCGACGGGGACGAAACCGCAAGGUUGACGGUACCCGUAGAAGAAGCCCCGGCUAACUCCGUGCCAGCAGCCGCGGUAAUACGGGGGGGGCAAGCGUUGUUCGGAAUUACUGGGCGUAAAGGGCGCGUAGGCGGUUUGCUAAGUUGGAUGUGAAAACUCUGGGCUUAACCCAGAGCCUGCAUCCAAAACUGGCAAACUUGAGUACUGGAGGGGAAAGCGGAAUUCCUGGUGUAGCGGUGAAAUGCGUAGAUAUCAGGAGGAACACCGGUGGCGAAGGCGGCUUUCUGGACAGUAACUGACGCUGAGGCGCGAAAGCUAGGGGAGCAAACAGGAUUAGAUACCCCCGUAGUCC
RNAcentral lists this ribosomal RNA (432 nucleotides) under uncultured bacterium. RNAcentral's name for it is "bacterial SSU rRNA". It matches the Rfam family "Bacterial small subunit ribosomal RNA", at positions 355 to 796 of the family's 1533-position model. The record is from RNAcentral.